UACGUAGGGGGCGAGCGUUAUCCGGAUUUACUGGGUGUAAAGGGAGCGUAGACGGUUAAUCAAGUCUGAAGUGAAAGCCCGCGGCUCAACUGCGGAACGGCUUUGGAAACUGAGUAACUGGAGUGCUGGAGGGGCAGGCGGAAUUCCUGGUGUAGCGGUGAAAUGCAUAGAUAUCACGAAGAACUCCGAUUGCGAAGGCAGCUUACCAGUCUGCGACUGACGCUCAGGCACGAAAGUGUGGGUAUCGAACAGG
This 253-nucleotide ribosomal RNA is filed under the name uncultured bacterium. RNAcentral's name for it is "partial 16S ribosomal RNA". It matches the Rfam family "Bacterial small subunit ribosomal RNA", at positions 524 to 776 of the family's 1533-position model. The record is from RNAcentral.